RNAcentral lists this ribosomal RNA (253 nucleotides) under uncultured bacterium. RNAcentral's name for it is "partial 16S ribosomal RNA". It matches the Rfam family "Bacterial small subunit ribosomal RNA", at positions 524 to 776 of the family's 1533-position model. The record is from RNAcentral.
UACGGAGGGGGCUAGCGUUGUUCGGAAUUAUUGGGCGUAAAGCGCACGUAGGCGGCCCAUCAAGUUGGGGGUGAAAUCCCGGGGCUCAACCCCGAAACUGCCUCCAAAACUGCUGGUCUGGAGGUCGAGAGAGGUGAGUGGAAUUCCGAGUGUAGAGGUGAAAUUCGUAGAUAUUCGGAGGAACACCAGUGGCGAAGGCGGCUCACUGGCUCGAUACUGACGCUGAGGUGCGAAAGCGUGGGGAGCAAACAGG